Molecule: ribosomal RNA, 480 nt
Filed under: uncultured bacterium
Lineage: Bacteria
Description: partial 16S ribosomal RNA
Rfam family: Bacterial small subunit ribosomal RNA
Source: RNAcentral
GACGAACGCUGGCGGCGUGCCUAACACAUGCAAGUCGAGCGAGUGAAGUUCUUUCGGGAAUGGAUUUAGCGGCGGACGGGUGAGUAACACGUGGGCAACCUGCCUCAUAGAGGGGGAUAGCCUUCCGAAAGGGAGAUUAAUACCGCAUAAGAUUGUAGUACCGCAUGGUACAGCAAUUAAAGGAGCAAUCCGCUAUGAGAUGGGCCCGCGGCGCAUUAGCUAGUUGGUGAGGUAACGGCUCACCAAGGCGACGAUGCGUAGCCGACCUGAGAGGGUGAUCGGCCACAUUGGGACUGAGACACGGCCCAGACUCCUACGGGAGGCAGCAGUGGGGAAUAUUGCACAAUGGGGGAAACCCUGAUGCAGCAACGCCGCGUGAGUGAUGACGGCCUUCGGGUUGUAAAGCUCUGUCUUCAGGGACGAUAAUGACGGUACCUGAGGAGGAAGCCACGGCUAACUACGUGCCAGCCGCCGCGGUAA